UAGUCCACGCCGUAAACGAUGAGUGCUAGAUGUCGGGUGUCAAAGCUCGGUAUCGCCGUUAACACAUUAAGCACUCCGCCUGGGGAGUACGUACGCAAGUAUGAAACUCAAAGGAAUUGACGGGGACCCGCACAAGUAGCGGAGCAUGUGGUUUAAUUCGAGGCAACGCGAAGAACCUUACCAGGGCUUGACAUAUCUUUGACCGGUUUAGAGAUAAACCUUCUUCCUCGGAAGCGGAGAU
This 241-nucleotide ribosomal RNA is filed under the name uncultured bacterium. RNAcentral's name for it is "partial 16S ribosomal RNA". It matches the Rfam family "Bacterial small subunit ribosomal RNA", at positions 791 to 1033 of the family's 1533-position model. The record is from RNAcentral.